GGGUAAUUGGCUGCGGUGGUGAAAAGUGGGGCCAGGAGACUGGUCAGGGAACCCUCCACAGGCUCCAUUACUUUGUGACUUCACUGAAGAAGAGGCAGCAACUCCUGUAUUAAGACAGGUUUCUUCUGUGUUGCCCUUGGAUGUCCUGGAACUUGCUUUGUAGAUCAGGCCUCAAACUCACAGAGACCUGUCUGACUCUGUCUCCUGAGCACUGGGAUUAAAGGUAUGUGUUACCAUACCCAGCUUGCAUGAUGUAUUUUUAAUCUUCACAAUAGUUGAUGGUGAGUCUAUGCCAUGCCUUUUGGGGUGAAAAAGAGGUGGAAAAUAAAUAACAUGCUCAAGACCAUAUAGCUGUGAGUGAAGUCUGAGGUGAUCCUAGACUCAUGGGCACUCACUCUUCUGGACAUAUCACCAUAGGAUAUAUUUGUCUCAUUUACAGUUGCUGCUGCUUUUUGCAAACAGGAAACUAGGUCCA
RNAcentral lists this long non-coding RNA (475 nucleotides) under Mus spretus (western wild mouse). RNAcentral's name for it is "lncRNA (ENSMSPG00010051305.1)". The record is from RNAcentral. Lineage: Eukaryota; Metazoa; Chordata; Mammalia; Rodentia; Muridae.